CAGAAAUCUGUAUGUGUGUGUGU
This 23-nucleotide non-coding RNA is filed under the name Mus musculus (house mouse). Lineage: Eukaryota; Metazoa; Chordata; Mammalia; Rodentia; Muridae. The record is from RNAcentral.